This 253-nucleotide ribosomal RNA is filed under the name uncultured bacterium. RNAcentral describes it as "partial 16S ribosomal RNA". It matches the Rfam family "Bacterial small subunit ribosomal RNA", at positions 524 to 776 of the family's 1533-position model. The record is from RNAcentral.
UACGAAGGGAGCUAGCGUUGCUCGGAAUCACUGGGCGUAAAGCGCACGUAGGCGGAUGUGCCAGUCAGGGGUGAAAUCCCGGAGCUCAACUCCGGAACUGCCUCUGAUACAGCACGUCUUGAGUCCGGAAGAGGUGGGUGGAAUUCCUAGUGUAGAGGUGAAAUUCGUAGAUAUUAGGAAGAACACCCGUAGCGAAGGCGGCACUCUGGGCCGGUACUGACGCUGAGGAGCGAAAGCGUGGGGAGCAAACAGG